CAGUAGCCGCGGUAAUACGGAGGGGGCUAACGUUAUUCGGAAUUACUGGGCGUAAAGGGCACGUAGGCGGCUUCGCAAGUCAGAGGUGAAAGCCUGGGGCUCAACUCCAGAAUUGCCUUUGAGACUGCGUCGCUUGAAUCCGGGAGAGGUGAGUGGAAUUCCGAGUGUAGAGGUGAAAUUCGUAGAUAUUCGGAAGAACACCAGUGGCGAAGGCGGCUCACUGGACCGGCAUUGACGCUGAGGUGCGAAAGCGUGGGGAGCAAACAGGAUUAGAGACCCGAGUAGUACCUGUCUCUUAUAC
Molecule: ribosomal RNA, 301 nt
Filed under: uncultured bacterium
Lineage: Bacteria
Description: partial 16S ribosomal RNA
Rfam family: Bacterial small subunit ribosomal RNA
Source: RNAcentral